CAAACGACUCUCGGCAACGGAUAUCUCGGCUCUCGCAUCGAUGAAGAACGUAGCAAAAUGCGAUACUUGGUGUGAAUUGCAGAAUCUCGUGAACCAUUGAGUUUUUGAAUGCAAGUUGCGCCCGAAGCCGUCAGGCCAAGGGCACGUCUGCCUGGGCGUCACGC
RNAcentral lists this ribosomal RNA (164 nucleotides) under Fleroya rubrostipulata. RNAcentral's name for it is "5.8S ribosomal RNA". It matches the Rfam family "5.8S ribosomal RNA". Rfam says of the family: 5.8S ribosomal RNA (5.8S rRNA) is a component of the large subunit of the eukaryotic ribosome. It is transcribed by RNA polymerase I as part of the 45S precursor that also contains 18S and 28S rRNA. Lineage: Eukaryota; Viridiplantae; Streptophyta; Magnoliopsida; Gentianales; Rubiaceae. The record is from RNAcentral.